GGGCCAUAGCUCAGUUGGUAGAGCGCUUGAAUGGCAUUCAAGAGGUCAGGGGUUCGACUCCCCUUGGCUCC
This 71-nucleotide transfer RNA is filed under the name Paracoccus kondratievae. It matches the Rfam family "tRNA". From Rfam's summary of the family: Transfer RNA (tRNA) molecules are approximately 80 nucleotides in length. Their secondary structure includes four short double-helical elements and three loops (D, anti-codon, and T loops). Lineage: Bacteria; Pseudomonadati; Pseudomonadota; Alphaproteobacteria; Rhodobacterales; Paracoccaceae. The record is from RNAcentral. RNAcentral also lists the same sequence under 4 other names.